Molecule: regulatory RNA element, 110 nt
Rfam family: mraW RNA
Source: Rfam
CGAUUCGGGUGCCGUGAGGCCUCGGUCCGCUCGACUAUCGGCCCUGGCGCACCUUCCCCGGCGCCAGGUUCGACGGGCGGGCGGGGACCUGACGUCACCCGAUACGCGCA